Molecule: long non-coding RNA, 688 nt
Filed under: Phoenix dactylifera (date palm)
Lineage: Eukaryota; Viridiplantae; Streptophyta; Magnoliopsida; Arecales; Arecaceae
Description: long non-coding RNA (PDAC_LNC014257)
Source: RNAcentral
AAAAUCUGGGACUUGGAAUUCAAUCAAACGCGGACGCUGGGAUGUUUGGUAGAUUAAGCCGGAAGAUAAGAUGGAGGAGUUGGAUUCGGAAGUUGGGAGGAAAGGCUGAUCUGUGGGAUAUUAGAAGGAUAGAUUCAGCUGGGAAUCUUGGUUUGGGAUGUCCGGGAUGCAUGGGAUUCGGAGAGGUGAACUCAUCCGUGGAUGGAGUCAAUUCUAAGCGGGAGAGGGAGAAACGAGGAGUGCUCUGUUAGCUGGACACAGGGGAUGAGGAUGAAGUUUCGGAUGGAAAAGGAUGCGGACGCGAGAUGAACUCGGGACGUUGGAAAUUUAAAGGGUGAAAACUCGGAUGAAAACUGGACUCUAUUUUGAAGCUUAAAACAGGGGAGGAAAGGGAUGACUUGGAAGCUUGUUCUCUAAGCACUUAAAGGGUGACGUGGACAUGGGUUCAGCUGCAAACGUGACCUGCACACAUUAGUUCAAACAUCAUCCCAAUUAGUUCGACUCGACCUGCACACAUUAAUUUUGACCAGUAAAUAAAUAAGUAAAACACUAAUUACCUUUAAUUUAUUAAAAUGAAAUGAUGAAGGUAACACAAUUUUUUUUAGUUAAAUAUUCAAAAUAUGUGAAUUAAAAUAAUGAUAAGUGCUAUGAAUAAGAUAUUAAUUUAUGCAUUAUUUAGCACUUAUCA